RNAcentral lists this long non-coding RNA (766 nucleotides) under Heterocephalus glaber (naked mole-rat). RNAcentral describes it as "lncRNA (ENSHGLG00000038196.1)". The record is from RNAcentral. Lineage: Eukaryota; Metazoa; Chordata; Mammalia; Rodentia; Bathyergidae.
GGAAAGUGCCAUGUAGGAGAAGGCCAGGAUGUAAGGGGCAUCUGAAUUAGGCAUCUGUGUAUACAUUCUGCCUCCAAAACAAUUCCCGACUUCUUUUUUAGAAGCAGGACUCUGAGACAAGGACUUUAAGUGCAAUAACUUAUUUGGGAAGUGUUCCUAGGAAAUACUCCUGGAGGAAUGAGAAAGUGAUCCAGGGAAGAUAAGGCAGCCAGUAUAUAAUGUGCAUUCAAAUAAUUCAACAUGCGAAUGGGCAACUGAAGUUUAUUCCCUCUGGGAAGCUCCAGGAGGCAGCGCGGAAUAUACACCUCAAGUCACUCCGGCACAGCGGCAAGAGACCCGGGACGUAGUACGCCAGCUCCUGACAGUGAGUGGGUGAGGACAGUAGGGCUCAGUGAGGACAAACAACAUGAUUAUGGCAACCUGUGGACAGAAAGAACUGCGCUUUAGAGACCUAACUACUCAUGGCUCUUGGCCCUACAGCAGGGUGUUGUCUCUUCAAAUAUUUGACUAUAUCCAAAUCUUGUUGGCACCUUCAUGUACUAGACUCUUCUUCUGGGACAGAGGAACCCAUGAUUUGCCUUCAUCAAAGGACAAACAAAGAGGGUGCCAUCUGUGAAUCAGGAAGUGGGGCCUUACCAGACACUAAAUCUGCCAGUGCACUGAUCCUGGACUUCCCAGCCUUCAGAACCAUGAGAGAUACAUUUCUGUUGUUUCUAUGACAUUUUGUUAUAACGGCCCAAACAGAAUAAACAGGCUUGGAGCAGAC